RNAcentral lists this ribosomal RNA (469 nucleotides) under uncultured Gammaproteobacteria bacterium. Its description in RNAcentral is "bacterial SSU rRNA". It matches the Rfam family "Bacterial small subunit ribosomal RNA", at positions 365 to 825 of the family's 1533-position model. The record is from RNAcentral. Lineage: Bacteria; Pseudomonadati; Pseudomonadota; Gammaproteobacteria.
UGCACAAUGGGCGAAAGCCUGAUGCAGCAAUGCCGCGUGUGUGAAGAAGGCCUGCGGGUUGUAAAGCACUUUCAGUAGGGAGGAAACAGUUGCGGGUUAAUAUCCCGCGACCUUGACGUUACCUACAGAAGAAGCACCGGCUAACUCUGUGCCAGCAGCCGCGGUAAUACAGAGGGUGCAAGCGUUAAUCGGAAUUACUGGGCGUAAAGCGCGCGUAGGCGGCUUGGUCAGUCGGAUGUGAAAGCCCCGGGCUUAACCUGGGAAUUGCAUUCGAUACUGCCAGGCUAGAAUGUAGUAGAGGGAAGUGGAAUUCCAGGUGUAGCGGUGAAAUGCGUAGAUAUCUGGAGGAACAUCAGUGGCGAAGGCGACUUCCUGGACUAACAUUGACGCUGAGGUGCGAAAGCGUGGGGWGCAAACAGGAUUAGAUACCCUGGUAGUCCACGCCGUAAACGAUGUCAACUAGACGUUG